GGGGCACCAUUCCAAAAAGCGUACAGCUUCCCCAAGAGCAGCCACAGCCCCAAGAGGGCCCCCAGGAGGGCACCAUUCCAAAGAGCUACACUCCCAAGAGCAUCCCCAAGAGAGGCGCUAUACCAAGAAGUCCCAGCAUCCCCAAAAGCAGGCAAGGCGCCAUUCCCAAAAGUUGCAGCAUCCCUAAAUACAGCCACAGCCUCAAGAGGGCUCGAAGACCAGCACCGUUCCGAAGAGUGGCCACACUUCGAAGAACAUCCCCAAGUGCGGCGCCAUUUCAAAAACUCGCAGCAUCCCCAAAAGCAGCCACAGCCCCAAGAGCGGAGCCAUUCCAAAGAGCAUCCACACUCCAAAAAGCAUCCCCAAGAGUGGUGCCAUGCCAAAACGCCGAAGUGUCCUCAAGAGCAGCCACAGCCCCAAGAGGGCCCCCAAGAUCAGCACCAUUCCAAAAAGCCACAGCAACCACAGCACCAAGAGCACCCCAAAGAGUAGCCACCCUCCCAAGAGCACCACAAAGAGUGCCAGCAUUCCAAAAAGCUGCAGCUUCCCCACGAGCAGUCACAGCCCCAAGAGGGCCCUCAAGAGCAUCACCACUCCAAAGAGAGGUCACACUCCCAAGGGUAUCCCCAAGGGCAGCACCAUUCCAAAGAGAAUCGACACUCCCAAGAGGACCCCCAAGAGCAGUGCCAUUCCAAAGAGCGGUCACACUCGCAGAAGCAUCCCCAAGAGCGGCACAAUUCCAAAAAGUCGCAGCCUCCCCAAGAGCAGCCACAACACCAAGUAGGCCCGCAAAAGCAGCAGCAUUCCAAGGAGAGGCCACACACCCACGAGUAUCCCCAAGAGUGGCACCAUUCCAAAAAGUCGCAGGAUCCCAAAGAGCAUCCACAGCCCCAAGAGGGCCCUCAAGUGCAGCGCCACUCCAAAGAGCAGCCACAUUCCCAAGAGUAUUCCCAAGAGCGGCGCCAUUCCAAAGAGCGGCCAGACUCCAAAGAGCAUCCCCAACAGAGGCGCCAUUCCAAAAAUCCACAGCAGCCACAGUCCCAAGAGCACGCCCACGAGUAGCCACACUCCCCGGAGUGGCACCAUUCAAAAAAGUCCCAGCAUCCCCAAGAGCAGCCACAGCCCCAAGAUAUUCCCCAAGAGCGGCACCAUUCCAAAGAGAGGCCACACUCCCAAGAGCACCCCCAAGAGAGGCGCCAUUCCGGAAACUCUCAAAAUCCCCAAGAGCAGCCAAAGCCGCAGGAGGGCCCCCACAAGAGGUGCCAUCACAAAGAGCAGCCACCCUCCAAAGAGCGCACCCAGAAGAGGCUCCAUUCUAA
RNAcentral lists this long non-coding RNA (1319 nucleotides) under Monodelphis domestica (gray short-tailed opossum). RNAcentral describes it as "lncRNA (ENSMODG00000048335.1)". Lineage: Eukaryota; Metazoa; Chordata; Mammalia; Didelphimorphia; Didelphidae. The record is from RNAcentral.